GUUUGGGUGAACUGCAGCAGCGCAGCCGCAGUGCGGCGCUCCGGCUCCGUAUCCUUCCGCGGUGGGCAUGGUGCGAGCUGAGAAAAAGUACUGAGAAAAAGCCUUGCUGUCCCAAGCAUCCUCAGCACAAUCACAAGAUGAAGCCUCAGGUCUCCAAAGGAAAACAUGGAUGCCUUUUCCAGCAGUAUUAAUGAGCAGGCUGCUGAGUGCCACAUUUCAGAAGCUGCCUGAACACCGUCCCUCGGAGCUGGUCCCUGAGCACCACUCCUUGCUCCCUCUCUUCAUGUGAGGUUCAGUUGCUAGGAUAGUAAACGUGAAGUGACGUCCUGCUGACCCAAAGUAAAAAUUUGGGACACUUUUUGAAGUUUCCAUUGGGUGAAACUUCAGUGAGCAGAGUCACAGGACAGGAUGCCUUUCCCCCUUGACUGUGCAACCUGAAAUCCAAUCUGCUCCACCUUUCCAAGGAUUCAUAUCACACAAGCACCCAGAAAUAAUCACCUCUUCCCCUAACAGAGAUAGGGGCAGACAGGCAGAACCUCAUGGAGUUCCCCAACUACUUUAACACCAAGAGAAAUGGCUUAGUGAGAACCAGUAGGGUCUAGAAAUCCCCUUCCAAAAAGAUGAAAUACCAAAAAAACCUUCCCUACCAUAAGUUGGCAUAACCCUGUUAGCACAAUGGGAGCCACCCCAGUUAUCCAACUGAGGUUUAGCUCCUAUUUCUUGGGGCACCAGCUCUGCCUGCUUUCUCCUUCCUUUGACACAUCCCCACACACAGCAACCACUCGUGGGCAGGCAGAGCCAAAGGGACACAGCAACUGGGAACAGAGGUUAGAAUUCAUCCCUGGUAGCUGCAGUACAAGGAAGAAGGUUUGUCAAGUCUGUACUUGAUGUCUACUGUGUACUGCAACAGCACACUGGAGCUGCUGCCAGG
Cyanistes caeruleus (blue tit) is the source of this 931-nucleotide non-coding RNA. The record is from RefSeq and is a predicted model, not a curated record. NCBI's taxonomy places the organism in Eukaryota, Metazoa, Chordata, Aves, Passeriformes, Paridae.